Molecule: ribosomal RNA, 775 nt
Filed under: uncultured Neocallimastigales
Lineage: Eukaryota; Fungi; Neocallimastigomycota; Neocallimastigomycetes; Neocallimastigales
Description: partial large subunit ribosomal RNA
Rfam family: Eukaryotic large subunit ribosomal RNA
Source: RNAcentral
GAGACUCUGUGCGCGUGCAUAUCAAUAAGCGGAGGAAAAGAAACUAACAAGGAUUCCCUUAGUAACGGCGAGUGAAGCGGGAAGAGCUCAAAUUUGAAAUCUUCAAGGGUUUACCUUGACGAAUUGUAGUUUAAAGAAGUGUUUUCUGUUAGAGAGGUGGUAAAAGUUCUUUGGAAUAGGACAUCAUAGAGGGUGAGAAUCCCGUAUUUGAUCACUUUCUACUAACGUUGUAGAUACACUUUCAAAGAGUCGGAUUGUUUGGGAAUGCAGUCCAAAAUGGGUGGUAAAUUUCAUCUAAAGCUAAAUAUUGGCGAGAGACCGAUAGCGAACAAGUACCGUGAGGGAAAGAUGAAAAGAACUUUGAAAAGAGAGUUAAACAGUACGUGAAAUUGUCAAAAGGGAAGCGUUUGACACCAGUGUUGUUUUUCCGAAAAUCAAUUAAGAAUGGCCGGAUUUUAAGUUUCAUGACCUUAAAAGCUUGUUUCUUAUUUUUCUUGUCUUUCUUAAUGCACUUUUCGGUUAACAAGUCAACAUCAAUUUCUUUUGUGGUAAAAGGUUAAGAGGAAGGUGGCUUUACUUUCGGGUAAAGUGUUUAUAGCCUUUUAACUCUGCAAUCGGAGAGAUUGAGGUCUGCAGCGUAGAUCCUUCGGGGCUAGAUACGUUUGUGCUAAGUUAUAGCUUUUCAUAGACAACUUGUUGACUAUGUUUAGUCUUGUAGCUUACUCGCAUGCGCUAUUUUACCUACGCUUAGGAUGUUGAACUCUAUCACACACAG